UGCUAUCUGUUGCCAGCAAGUAAUGUUGGGGACUCAGAUGGAACUGCCGGUGACAAACCGGAGGAAGGUGGGGACGACGUCAAGUCAUCAUGGCCCUUAUGUCCUGGGCUACACACGUGCUACAAUGGCCGGUACAGAGCGCAGCGAAGCCGCGAGGCAAAGCGAAUCGCAAAAAGCCGGUCUCAGUACGGAUUGGAGUCUGAAACCCGACUCCAUGAAGUUGGAAUCGCUAGUAAUCGCGCAUCAGCAUGGCGCGGUGAAUACGUUCCCGGGCCUU
RNAcentral lists this ribosomal RNA (277 nucleotides) under uncultured Spirochaeta sp. Its description in RNAcentral is "partial 16S ribosomal RNA". It matches the Rfam family "Bacterial small subunit ribosomal RNA", at positions 1106 to 1382 of the family's 1533-position model. The record is from RNAcentral. Lineage: Bacteria; Pseudomonadati; Spirochaetota; Spirochaetia; Spirochaetales; Spirochaetaceae.